Small nucleolar RNA from Nycticebus coucang (slow loris), 92 nucleotides. RefSeq annotates it as small nucleolar RNA MBII-202. The transcript has a single exon. NCBI's taxonomy places the organism in Eukaryota, Metazoa, Chordata, Mammalia, Primates, Lorisidae. The record is from RefSeq and is a predicted model, not a curated record.
AAAUGACAUUCUCUGGAAUUGCUGUACUACUUUGAUGAAAGUGCAUUUGAACUUUUUUCCAUCUGAUCGCUGACAAGAAAAAGACUAUCCUU